GUGCCCUUAGCUCAGCUGGAUAGAGCAACAGACUUCUAAUCUGUAGGUCAAAGGUUUGAAUCCUUUAGGGCCCC
This 74-nucleotide transfer RNA is filed under the name Candidatus Megaera endosymbiont of Hartmannula sinica. RNAcentral's name for it is "tRNA-Arg". It matches the Rfam family "tRNA". Rfam says of the family: Transfer RNA (tRNA) molecules are approximately 80 nucleotides in length. The record is from RNAcentral. Lineage: Bacteria; Pseudomonadati; Pseudomonadota; Alphaproteobacteria; Rickettsiales; Rickettsiaceae.